GGACCCAUUGCUUCUGUGGGCAACACCAGUUGUGUCGAUGUCGGAGGAAAUAAUUCAGGAAACAUUGGAUCAGGCAACAAAUUCGAUAUAAAAGGAGGAGUGGGAGGUUGUGAAAGCGUUUGCCACACUGCUACUGUUAAACCUUGUCCUAAACCAGGAUCCACUGGUUCAGGGAAUUGCUGCAAAUGAGCUAAGGAAAUCGGCCUCCAACUCUUCCAAAAACAAGGCACCAUUUGUUGAAUGUUGAAUUCAUGAUUUCAAAUCAACAGUAUGAAUGUAAAGGAAAUAUGAGUGAAAAUAAAGUAGAGUACCUGCUCUAUGAGACC
Molecule: long non-coding RNA, 326 nt
Organism: Perca fluviatilis (European perch)
Lineage: Eukaryota; Metazoa; Chordata; Actinopteri; Perciformes; Percidae
Exons: 3
Source: RefSeq, a predicted model, not a curated record